UGUCUCCUCCAACACCUCCCAAGGUUUGGAUUCAAGCCCGCGCCGCAAGGUCUCGCGGGCUUUUUUUU
Molecule: non-coding RNA, 68 nt
Filed under: Collimonas fungivorans Ter331
Lineage: Bacteria; Pseudomonadati; Pseudomonadota; Betaproteobacteria; Burkholderiales; Oxalobacteraceae
Description: Betaproteobacteria toxic small RNA
Rfam family: Betaproteobacteria toxic small RNA
About the family: Overexpression in amino aid rich medium attenuates growth, suggesting role in repressing amino acid intake and metabolism.
Source: Rfam by way of RNAcentral